GACGAACGCUGGCGGCGUGCUUAACACAUGCAAGUCGAACGGAAAGGCCCUGCUUUUGUGGGGUGCUCGAGUGGCGAACGGGUGAGUAACACGUGAGUAACCUGCCCUUGACUUUGGGAUAACUUCAGGAAACUGGGGCUAAUACCGGAUAGGAGCUCCUGCUGCAUGGUGGGGGUUGGAAAGUUUCGGCGGUUGGGGGUGGACUCGCGGCUUAUCAGCUUGUUGGUGGGGUAGUGGCUUACCAAGGCUUUGACGGGUAGCCGGCCUGAGAGGGUGACCGGCCACAUUGGGACUGAGAGACGGCCCAGAGUCCUACGGGAGGCAGCAGUGGGGAAUAUUGCACAAUGGGCGGAAGCCUGAUGCAGCAACGCCGCGUGCGGGAUGACGGCCUUCGGGUUGUAAACCGCUUUCGCCUGUGACGAAGCGUGAGUGACGGUAAUGGGUAAAGAAGCACCGGCUAACUACGUG
RNAcentral lists this ribosomal RNA (468 nucleotides) under uncultured bacterium. Its description in RNAcentral is "partial 16S ribosomal RNA". It matches the Rfam family "Bacterial small subunit ribosomal RNA", at positions 28 to 507 of the family's 1533-position model. The record is from RNAcentral.